GACGAACGCUGGCGGCGUGCCUAACACAUGCAAGUCGAACGGAAAGGCCCUGCUUUUGUGGGGUGCUGGAGUGGCGAACGCGUGAGUAUCACGUGAGUAUCCUGACCUUGACUUUGGGAUAACUUCAGGAAACUGGGGCUAAUAUCAGACAGGAGCCCCUGUUGCAUGGUGGGGGUGGGAAAGUUUCGGCGGUUGGGGAUGGACUCGCGGGUUAUCAGCUUGUUGGUGGGGUAGUGGCUUACCAAGGCUUUGACGGGUAGCCGGCCUGAGAGGGUGACCGGCCACAUUGGGACUGAGGUACGGCCCAGACGCCUACGGGAGGCAGCAGUGGGGAAUAUUGCACAAUGGGCGGAAGCCUGAUGCAGCAGCGUCGCGUUCGGGAUGACGGCCUUCGGGUUGUAAACCGCUUUCGCCUGUGACGAAGCGUGAGUGACGGUAAUGGGUAAAGAAGCACCGGCUAACUACGUG
Molecule: ribosomal RNA, 468 nt
Filed under: uncultured bacterium
Lineage: Bacteria
Description: partial 16S ribosomal RNA
Rfam family: Bacterial small subunit ribosomal RNA
Source: RNAcentral